This 1326-nucleotide ribosomal RNA is filed under the name Triticum aestivum (bread wheat). RNAcentral's name for it is "partial small subunit ribosomal RNA". Lineage: Eukaryota; Viridiplantae; Streptophyta; Magnoliopsida; Poales; Poaceae. The record is from RNAcentral.
AUGAUAGAGUUCCUUAUUCACUGGAACAAGGGCCUUACUGCACAAGUGGACAAAGAUGGGAAUACACCACUUCAUUUUGCUUCAUCACUAUUUUAUUGGACUGGCUCGUAUCUGCGUCUUGCGCUCCUCCGCAGACCCCCUUGGUGUGUUUUUGUAUGGUUUCCCUGGAAAUCUACACAGACACUCCAGAAGGUAUUCAAAGCGAACCCCACAGUAGUGUAUCAAGCAGACAAGAACGGGUCUUUUCCCAUACAUGUGGCUGCCUCUGUAGGUGCCAAAGAUGCCAUACAGUUUUUCUAUGACGAGCGUCCAGACAGUGUUGGAUUGCGUGAUGCUAAAGGAAGGACCUUCCUUCAUGUUGCUGUCAAGAAAAGAAGACUGAGCAUAGUCUUCUAUGUACGCCGGACUCGAUCUUUAGCUUGGAUUCUGAAUAUGCAAGACAACGAUGGGAAUACUGCACUGCACUUAGCUAUCCAGACUCGGAGCUUUAGGAUGUUUUGUGCUCUACUUGGGAAUCGGAAGGUGGAGUUGAAUCUAAUAAAUAACCAUGGGGAAACUCCCUGUGAUAUAUCUAGAAGUAAGAUUCCAUGCGGAAUGAAUUAUAGACAGAACCCCGAGAAUAAAAUAUUUGAUGCCUUGUUGUCUGUUGGGGCAAACCAUGGUGCCCUUCGCUGGGAUAAAACUGAGGAAAUGUAUAGCCCGCGUCAAAAGCCAGAGGACAAGGUCAAGGAAUCAGAGUGGCUGAAAGAUGCAACCCAAACGCUUAUGGUUGCUUCAGUCUUAAUAGCAACAGUGGCGUUCACCGCAAACUUUGCUCUUCCUGGAGGUUACAGAGCCGAUGAUCAUAAAAAUGGUGGCACGCCAACACUUGCUGGGAGUUUUGUUUUUGAUGCAUUCAUGAUGGCCACAACAUUAGCUUUCAUCUGCUCCUCAAUAGCCACCGUUGGUUUCGCGUAUGCCGGAACUCCCAUGGUUAACUUGAUCGCCCGCAGAGUCUACUUUGGCCUAUCUGCACGUUUCAUGUCGAGUUCAGUCACAUGCAUGUCUAUCGCUUUUGCACUGGGGGUGUAUAUGGUGCUUGCACCAAUUGCUCGUGAUACCGCUAUUGCUGUUUGUGUUAUUACUCCUGCCGUGUUGCUAAGUGCAAAUAUGGAGGCUAUUUUGAAAUUGGUUAUUCUUGCACUACCGUUAUGCAUUAGGAAAGGGCUAUUCCUAGGAAUGGUACAGCUACUAAAGUUAUAUGUGGUCAAACUAAUCGCUGCACUUUGGCCAUUCAUAUUAACCUUUGGUUGGGCCGCGUUGGCAAGGAUCCACCGCCAUCGCUAA